CUACGGGGUGCAGCAGUGGGGAAUAUUGCACAAUGGAGGAAACUCUGAUGCAGCAACGCCGCGUGGAGGAUGACACUUUUCGGAGCGUAAACUCCUUUUAUAUAGGAAGAAGAUGACGGUACUAUAUGAAUAAGCACCGGCUAACUCCGUGCCAGCAGCCGCGGUAAUACGGAGGGUGCAAGCGUUACUCGGAAUCACUGGGCGUAAAGGACGCGUAGGCGGGUUGGAAAGUCAGAAGUGAAAUCCUAUAGCUUAACUAUAGAACUGCUUCUGAAACUCUUAAUCUAGAAUAUGGGAGAGGUAGAUGGAAUUUCUGGUGUAGGGGUAAAAUCCGUAGAGAUCAGAAGGAAUACCGAUUGCGAAGGCGAUCUACUAGAACAUUAUUGACGCUGAGACGCGAAAGCGUGGGGAGCAAACAGGAUUAGAUACCCCCGUAGUC
RNAcentral lists this ribosomal RNA (439 nucleotides) under uncultured bacterium. Its description in RNAcentral is "partial 16S ribosomal RNA". It matches the Rfam family "Bacterial small subunit ribosomal RNA", at positions 339 to 795 of the family's 1533-position model. The record is from RNAcentral.